This 951-nucleotide long non-coding RNA is filed under the name Equus caballus (horse). Its description in RNAcentral is "lncRNA (ENSECAG00000051028.1)". The record is from RNAcentral. Lineage: Eukaryota; Metazoa; Chordata; Mammalia; Perissodactyla; Equidae.
CUCAUUUCAAAAUGGGAAUUACAUACCUCUCAACAACUCGGUUUUUGUGCCACUGGCACACACCGGAGCUGCUGGGAAUCUGUGUGGACCGCUGCCAACGAGACCCGGACUGUGGGACUGGACAGCAGUGUAUCAUGGUGGGAUGUCGUCGAACCUGCGCUCCAGCCCUGGGACCAGGUGUCUGUGUGGAAGAAUGCCAAAGUCACCGAGACUGUGCUGUAGGACGUCUAUGUGUCAGCAAUGGAUGUGGCCGUGUCUGCCGGCCAGCCCAAGACCAAGGAUGCUGCGGCUGUUGGCCAUUGGUCCCACUCCCUCUACAGAGCCAGCCCAGUUCUGAAAAGACUGUUUUUCAGAUGGAUCAAGACCCAGAACUUGUCCAAGGUUGCCUCCAGGAACUAAUGGACUUUGUGAUGAAAUGUGUAGAGGAGAUGAAGCUUGUCCCAGGGGACAGAAAUGCUGCAGCCAUGGUGGUGGUGGCCACACCUGCCAAAUCGCUAUUCAAGACAUCAGUAUAAGAUAGAGAGCUGUUUACCGGAAGCAUGGGUCUCUGCUGAUCUUUACAGCACAGAAGGGAACCCAUCCGCCCCUCUGCUCACUGAAGUCUGGGUGGCAUGUGGAGAAAGCUGGUUGGUAGCAAAGAGCAGGAAUUUCUGGAAAGUGUCGUGAAUAUCUUGGUGUUGUAGGAGGAAGAUUUCCUUAUCCGUUUGGAUGAUUAAUCAACCUUAGCCUCCUUCAGUGACCAUUCCCAAAUGUCACCUUUAUGCCGGUACCUGGUGUUGGGCUUUCUACUAUCUUUUCCUGGCUACUUUCUAUUCCUGGAACCCCAGUACCAUAUGAUUAGGAUCUGUAAUAACUUUGGCAUCAGUGUUCAGUUCUGGCAAUUACUACAGAAAUCAUGGGGUGAAUGCUUCCAAAAUAAUCCUUCUUCUGAAUAAAAUUAUUUCUGUGGCA